CUAUUCUCAUAUCAGUCCCAAUCUCGAUCCCAACCAACACCGCCGCACCUGCAUGUCGCCCUACCCAUUGCCGCUGCACUGCAACCUCCGCCUCCGUCCCUGCGCCACCGCACCAGCGAAAUCCAUGGCGGCCGCAGCUGCCCUGGUCUCCCUCCUGUCUGCCCGUCCUGCAUUCUCCCUCCUAAUCCCCCUCCGGCACUACCUCUGCCACACCCCCAAACCCUAGAUCUGGUCGGUCGGGAGACCAAGAUGGCAGCGGCGGCACCGGCGCCAUUCCCCUCGCGCUUCAAGCCGGCCAGCAAGGAGAUAAAGACGGCGGCGGGCAAGAGGUUCUCUAACCCAAAGCUGUGGUGGCGCCUCCUCCUACUGUCCCCAUCCAGUCGAGCUCCGGGGCGACGAUACCUCCUCACAGCGGCCCCCAUCCCGUCGAGCUCCGGCGCGACGAUACCUCCUCACGGCGGCCCCCAUCCCGUCGAUCUCCAGCACGACGGCGCCUCCAUCAGGUAUGUGCAGUCAAUUGGAAUUAUAGGCAGCUCUGAUUGUUGCUUUUUCACAUUGAUUAAUGAUUAGUGCUUGUGUUGCACUCCCAUCCAUGCCCAAGAAGAGCCACGUGAGUAUCUAAUUUCUUAUGCCAUAUUCUGAUUUGGGAGCAGGGACAUGCAUGCAUAGGUAGUUAUCUUGGUAGAUAAGAGUCAUGUGUAAAUGUGUGAAUUAAUGUGUGAUGCACAGUUCAGUUUGUUUGAAUGCUUACCAGUUAUCAGUAAUCUCAUAAAUUCAGUUUGUAUGAGUAUAUAUAAUGGAAGUUAAUUGCCUCAGAGGUUCAAUGAAUCAGUUACUACGAAUCAGUCUGCCAGGAAAAUAAUAGAACUGCCGGGAAAACUAGCACUAGCAGGGCAGGUAGACCGCCGGGGAAAAUAAAACUGCAGGCAAAGACAUUUGCCGGCGGCAGUAUAGAGGGCAGGCAAAACUGCCGGCAGUUUAUUUGCCCUACAUCACUUUUGGCGGCAGUUAGGGUGCCCUCAUGCUUGGUCCAUCAUGUAGUGCUGGCUCGAUAAUUUUUCAUCUCACUGUUUUCCCUAAAAAAAGGUGUUAUUAGUGCUAAUAGACGCAUUACAUCCCGGCAUGGUCACUAAUUAAGACUAAGUUGGAAUUUUCAGAACUUCAGAAAAUAUGCCUCAUGCACACAUAGGCCUGCCUAUAUUGGGCUAACAUUCUAAAAUAUACAUAAGUCGACACAAGUUGCAUAAAUCAAGGUUUUUAUAACAAGCUGAUUUACUCCUAAAUGCCGUUCUAAAUAUUAAUUAAAACAAGGGGCCGGGAUGGUGUUAGGGGUUUAAGAUAUAAUGUUAUAUAGUCAAUCUUCUAUUUCAGAAUAAAUGCAUGAUAUACGGUAUGUUUAUUAGGAUGGGAAACAAUUUGUGCGCCAUAAAGCAGAGGACUUAGAAAUAUGUUGGCUAACUAAAAGAAUAUUAAUUACAAACCCUGUAACAAACAUAUGACGAUGUCUACGUGAACUGGUAGCGAUCUGUGUAUCAAUCAAUCCCUAAACGCCGCAAACAAAUUUUUCUGUGGUAUUUUUCUCGGAACAUAUAAACAAGUCGUAAAAACAAUUCAGCGCGUUUAUAUAACCCUGCUAGGCGUUUAUACUGUACUCCUCCAAGUUCUAGAUAAUCUGUAGCCGGCAGGCCUAAAAUGUUCCAACUUUCGUGCAGACAAUGUGCCAGUUAAAUAUUGCUGUUUAUUUUUGCCUUUGUGAGCCUUUUGCCCUUGCUUUAUGAUUGAAGUAGACAGGACCGUACCUCACACAAAAGAACCGAAGAACGUCCUCUCAAAUUCUCAAUGAUUGGCUCUUUUCCCGCACUUUCUUGUAUUUUGUUUAGACGCUCUAGGCCAAAGUGUCUUAACCUUAGAUACCCAAAUCUUACAUCGGAUUAUAAGUGUUUACAAAAAAGAAGAAAGGAGGAGGAUUAUAGGUUGAUCUGGUCAGGUGUACCUUGAACGCCUACGACCUACAGCGUCCAGUAUCUUUACUAUAAUUUGCAUUGCAGCACACGCGCGAUGUUCUAGACCACAAAAAACUGACAACGCCAACCGAAAGAAGGAAUCAACAGACUGCUCCCGUGCAGAUCGACACGUCAUGCACGUUACUAAAGGCCUAGUAUUAACGCUAUGAACGAAAAUUAUUCCUAUAUACUGUACGAUCAAAGCAGGGUACAUGCAUGUAGUUUUCUGUCCACGUCUCUUUCAUGUUAUCUCUAUGCAUGUGACAAAAUUCUGUAAAACAAGCUGACGAAACGUAUCUACCUCCUGUGGAGGCCGCGUGUAUUUUUAGGAGAAAUAACAAGAUUACAAGAGUUUGAAUACACCAAGAUCAAUCUAUCUCUACACGGUUUAAACCAAAUCGGCAACAUCUACAACUACCUAUAUAAUCCAUCUAUUCGGUAGGUAUAAGUACUGUUUUAACAAUCCUCAAUCAAAACCUCUAUCAAGGUUGAGAUUCUGUCUAAAAGCCAUUAACUGCCGCAUUGACAGGGGUUUGGUAAAUCCAUCAGCCACUUGAUCACCCGUGUGUACAAACCGGAUGUUUAGAAGCUUUUGUGCUACACUUUCAUGAACAAAGUGGUAAUCCACAUCCAUGUGCUUUGUCCUAGCAUGAAAAACAGGAUUAAUAGAUAAAUAUGUAGCACUAAGAUUAUCGCACCAAAAGAAUGCCAGUCGAAGCAUUUUUAUCCUGAGUUCCUUCAACAAAGUCCGAAGCUAAGGACUUAUAUUCUGCCUCACUACUUGAGCCAAAAAAUGUGGCCUGCUUUCCGGUACUCUAGGCUAUAAGAUUGGAGCCGAAGAGCACUACACAACCACCGGUAAAACGUACCCCUAUGUCCAACAAAAGAUAUCUAAAGUUUGUCAAAAUUUGAAUGUAUAUAGACAUGACUUAGGGCAUAGAUGCAUUCAAAUUUAGCCAAAAUUGAGACAUCCUUUGUUGGACGAAGGGAGUAUGUCAUUUGAUAAUAUUGGCUGCUGGACCAAAGGAGGUGCUACGGUGGCUAUAUAUUGCUUAAUCUAGUACUUUCUCCGGCAAUAUCCUGCGACUAUCCUCCUUCUUGAAUGCUUUGCGCAGAAGUUAUCUUUCUUUUCAUUUGUUCUGGUUCGGCUUAGCUUUUGAUAAUAUAUGAUUGUAUAGAUGAGUCGAUGCAGAGAUUUGGCAGUGUGUUGCUUCUCUUUCCAUUAUUUAAGCAGAUGUCAUGAAUGCGAUGCAAUUUGUUUCCGGUGAUUCACAAAAGAACUGGCUGGACGGUUUGGCUCCCAAUGUCAUCGCACCUACCAUUUUUGCCAUCACUACGAGGAAGAACCGUUCUGUGCACGAUGAUAUUACCGAGGGGGCUUGGGUCUGUGCUUUAAGAGGCAAGAUCUCCAAUGCGGUUCAACUCGAUGAGUUUGUCUCCCUUUGGUUGAGACUUCAAGCUCGGCGUAUAAGGCUCAAUUCCUCGGCUCCAUCCAUGCCCAACACGCAAACACUGUCUGGAAAACCAAUGCCGAAAACAAGUGCAAAUUCUUCGCCUGGCUUCUUGUGCAGAACAAGAUCCUCACCGCCGACAAUCUCGCCGUCAGGGGCUGGCCGCACACUCCUGGAUGUUCCCUUUGCACUGAUCCUCAUGAGACCGGGACACACCUUUUCCUUCGAUGCCCCUUUGCCCGUCAGGUGUGGGAUAAAGUCCUCGACCACUACAACUUCAACAUCCUUCAGCGGGUCAAGCCUUCUAACUACAGGGACACUUGUGCCUGGUGGAUUCAAGCCUCCAAGACGAUUGACAAAGAAAGAAGACAAUAUUUCAAUGGGGUGAUCAUUUACAUUAUGUGGAACAUUUGGAAGGAGCGCAACCGCCAUAUCUUUCAGACCGUGGCAGCUCCUGCUUUUGUUGUCACGUCGCUUGCCCGUGACGCAAUUGAUACUCAUAGGCUUGCUUUCCAUUGUGUGACCGUGCCGUGAAGUUUUUUGUGGUUCUUCGGUUUUUUCUGUCCGUCCUACCGGCCAGCUGCGUUUGGUCUGUUGGGAUAGUCCUUUUCUGUCUCGUCUUUGAUUUUUCUUCUUCUUUCGACCUCGGUCGCAUGUACAUAUAUUUGGUUUUCCCCUUCUAAUAUUGCAUGGCAGAUCUCCUGCCCUUCACGGCAAAAAAGAUUCACGAAAGAAAGUAUAGUAGGUCCU
Brachypodium distachyon (stiff brome) is the source of this 4204-nucleotide long non-coding RNA. RefSeq lists it as uncharacterized. Lineage: Eukaryota; Viridiplantae; Streptophyta; Magnoliopsida; Poales; Poaceae. The record is from RefSeq and is a predicted model, not a curated record. The transcript has 3 exons.